Molecule: ribosomal RNA, 661 nt
Filed under: uncultured bacterium
Lineage: Bacteria
Description: bacterial SSU rRNA
Rfam family: Bacterial small subunit ribosomal RNA
Source: RNAcentral
AGUCGAACGGAAGUCGUUGUAAUGAAAUAGAAACGGACAGAGAACUUGUUCGAAGAAAGUGGAAGUAGACUUACAACAAUGGCUUUAGUGGCGGACUGGUGAGUAACGCGUAAGGAACCUGCCUUCUAGAGGGGAAUAACAAUGAGAAAUCAUUGCUAAUACCGCAUAUGCCGAGAGAAUCACAUGGUACAAUCGGGAAAAGAGUAAUCUGCUAGAAGAUGGCCUUGCGUCUGAUUAGAUAGUUGGUGGGGUAACGGCCUACCAAGUCGACGAUCAGUAGCCGGACUGAGAGGUUGAACGGCCACAUUGGGACUGAGAUACGGCCCAGACUCCUACGGGAGGCAGCAGUCGGGAAUAUUGCGCAAUGGAGGAAACUCUGACGCAGUGACGCCGCGUAUAGGAAGAAGGUUUUCGGAUUGUAAACUAUUGUCGUUAGGGAAGAGAAAGGACAGUACCUAAGGAGGAAGCUCCGGCUAACUACGUGCCAGCAGCCGCGGUAAUACGUAGGGAGCGAGCGUUAUCCGGAAUUAUUGGGUGUAAAGGGUGCGUAGACGGGAAGAUAAGUUAGUUGUGAAAUCCCUCGGCUUAACUGAGGAACUGCAACUAAAACUGUUUUUCUUGAGUGCAGGAGAGGUAAGUGGAAUUCCUAGUGUAGCGGUGA